Molecule: transfer RNA, 66 nt
Filed under: Tigriopus californicus
Lineage: Eukaryota; Metazoa; Arthropoda; Copepoda; Harpacticoida; Harpacticidae
Description: tRNA-Gln
Source: RNAcentral
UGUAUUUAGGUGUUUAGCAUAUGAAAAUUUGACUUUCUUGGAUCUUUUUAACUAGAGAAAAUACAG